This 450-nucleotide ribosomal RNA is filed under the name uncultured bacterium. Its description in RNAcentral is "partial 16S ribosomal RNA". It matches the Rfam family "Bacterial small subunit ribosomal RNA", at positions 354 to 796 of the family's 1533-position model. The record is from RNAcentral.
GUGGGGAAUAUUGGACAAUGGGCGAAAGCCUGAUCCAGCCAUGCCGCGUGUGUGAAGAAGGUCUUCGGAUUGUAAAGCACUUUAAGUUGGGAGGAAGGGCAGUAAGUUAAUACCUUGCUGUUUUGACGUUACCGACAGAAUAAGCACCGGCUAACUUCGUGCCAGCAGCCGCGGUAAUACGAAGGGUGCAAGCGUUAAUCGGAAUUACUGGGCGUAAAGCGCGCGUAGGUGGCUUUGUAAGUUGGAGGUGAAAUCCCCGGGCUCAACCUGGGAACUGCCUCCAAAAAUGCAUGACUAGAGUACGGUAGAGGGUAGUGGAAUUUCCUGUGUAGCGGUGAAAUGCGUAGAUAUAGGAAGGAACACCAGUGGCGAAGGCGACUACCUGGACUGAUACUGACACUGAGGUGCGAAAGCGUGGGGAGCAAACAGGAUUAGAUACCCUAGUAGUCC